CCACCUCCACCCCUCAUCCCUCACAAUGCGCGGAAAACCACAGGCGGCUGUGCGCGCAGCGUCGGCUCAGCCACCGCAGCUCCUCCCCUGGGAUGAAAAAGCACUCUGACGUCUUGAAAGCUGGCAGCUCUCUGUUUAGAAAAUCUCUGCCCAGUGAAAAAAUGUACCGACAAGAUUACUAAGUAACACAGUCUUCUGGGAAUGCCUUAUCAAUGCCAGCUAUUUGAAGAGCACCCAAAGUCAAACUAGUGCUCCGCGCUGGCAGUCUGGAAAAGGCAGAUGUAUAAACCAAAAAGGAUGGAGUUCAGAGACCUUCCAUGUUGAUGAACAAGAACACAUUCACCUGCUGUAGGGGUAGGUGUACCCCAAAACUCCACUGAUACAGAAGCUUCUAUACUCAAGACCCUUCUAUACUCAAGACCCUGGAUCUUACCCUAUAUAUCUCUUCAUCUGGCUAUUUAUUUGCAUCUUUUAGUAUAUCCUUUGUAAUAAACUAGUAAUCUAGAAAGUAAACUUUUCCUAGCUCUGUAGGCCAUUCUAGUAAAUGAUUAAACCUGAGGAGGAGUUAUGGGAACCUUUGAUUUGUAGACAAGUUGGACAGAAGUGGUAUAUAUCCUAAUAUAACAUGGGAACCUGCCACUUAUGAUUGGCGUGUGAAAUUGGGGGAUGGGGAAGCAGUCUUGUGGGACUGAGCCCUUAGCCUGUGGGGUCUAAUGCUAUCUUCAGGUAAUAUCAGAACUGAGUUAAAUUAUAGGAUACCAGUCAGUGUCCAUUGGAGAAUUGAAUUAUUGUGAGGAAAAACCCACACAUUUGGUGGCUAAAAGUAUUGAUGUGAGUAGUAGCAUAUAGGA
This 851-nucleotide non-coding RNA is filed under the name Pan troglodytes (chimpanzee). The record is from RNAcentral. Lineage: Eukaryota; Metazoa; Chordata; Mammalia; Primates; Hominidae.